RNAcentral lists this ribosomal RNA (468 nucleotides) under uncultured bacterium. Its description in RNAcentral is "partial 16S ribosomal RNA". It matches the Rfam family "Bacterial small subunit ribosomal RNA", at positions 28 to 507 of the family's 1533-position model. The record is from RNAcentral.
GACGAACGCUGGCGGCGUGCUUAACACAUGCAAGUCGAACGGAAAGGCCCUGCUUUUGUGGGGUGCUCGAGUGGCGAACGGGUGAGUAACACGUGAGUAACCUGCCCUUGACUUUGGGAUAACUUCAGGAAACUGGGGCUAAUACCGGAUAGGAGCUCCUGCUGCAUGGUGGGGUUUGGAAAGUUUCGGCGGUUGGGGAUGGACUCGCGGCUUAUCAGCUUGUUGGUGGGGUAGUUGCUUACCAAGGCUUUGACGGGUAGCCGGCCUGAGAGGGUGACCGGCCACAUUGGGACUGAGAUACGGCCCAGACUGCUACGGGAGGCAGCAGUGGGGAAUAUUGCACAAUGGGCGGAAGCCUGAUGCAGCAACGCCGCGUGCGGGAUGACGGCCUUCGGGUUGUAAACCGCUUUCGCCUGUGACGAAGCGUGAGUGACGGUAAUGGGUAAAGAAGCACCGGCUAACUACGUG